CAAUUAGAAAUGUAAAAAUGUGGGUUCAAAUCAGGCCCGCAAAUCAAAGAACCAAUAAGGAACUCAGAGCAGGCACAGACAUUUGAAACCCAUGAUUCAGUUUCCGUGCACAGUACCAUGCUACAAUCAUUCUGUUUAAUCCAGAGCAUCGGCUUAAUUGUACACGGAUAUAACAUCAACUAUGCAAACAACUAUCAUAACAUCAAUGAAAACAAAC
RNAcentral lists this small RNA (217 nucleotides) under Arabidopsis thaliana (thale cress). RNAcentral describes it as "ATSL244860". The record is from RNAcentral. Lineage: Eukaryota; Viridiplantae; Streptophyta; Magnoliopsida; Brassicales; Brassicaceae.